AUACGGAGGAUGCGAGCGUUAUCCGGAUUUAUUGGGUUUAAAGGGUGCGUAGGCGGAAAGUUAAGUCAGCGGUGAAACGCAGGUGCUCAACACCUGACCUGCCGUUGAGACUGGUUUUCUAGAAUGCGGAUGCUGUGGGAGGAAUGUGUGGUGUAGCGGUGAAAUGCAUAGAUAUCACACAGAACACCGGUUGCGAAGGCGGCCCUCUGGUCGGAUACUGACACUAAGACGCGAAAGCGUGGGGAGCAACCAGGAUUAGAUACCCUGGUAGUCCACGCUGUAAACGAUGGGCACUAGGUGUCCGGGGUAUUGCCCCCCUGGGUGCCGCAGCUAACGCAUUAAGUGCCCCGCCUGGGGAGUACGGUCGCAAGAUUAAAACUCAAAGGAAUGGACGG
Molecule: ribosomal RNA, 395 nt
Filed under: uncultured bacterium
Lineage: Bacteria
Description: partial 16S ribosomal RNA
Rfam family: Bacterial small subunit ribosomal RNA
Source: RNAcentral